This 394-nucleotide ribosomal RNA is filed under the name uncultured bacterium. RNAcentral's name for it is "partial 16S ribosomal RNA". It matches the Rfam family "Bacterial small subunit ribosomal RNA", at positions 338 to 729 of the family's 1533-position model. The record is from RNAcentral.
CCUACGGGUGGCAGCAGUGAGGAAUAUUGGUCAAUGGACGAGAGUCUGAACCAGCCAAGUCGCGUGAAGGAUGACUGCCCUAUGGGUUGUAAACUUCUUUUGUAAAGGAAUAAACGUAGCCACGCGUGCCUUUUUGAAAGUACUCUAUGAAUAAGGAUCGGCUAACUCCGUGCCAGCAGCCGCGGUAAUACGGAGGAUUCGAGCGUUAUCCGGAUUUAUUGGGUUUAAAGGGAGCGUAGAUGGGUUGUUAAGUUAGUUGUGAAAUUUGGGGGCUCAACCUUAAAAUUGCAAUUGAUACUGGUCGUCUUGAGUACAGGUGAGGUAGGCGGAAUUCGUGGUGUAGCGGUGAAAUGCUUAGAUAUCACGCAGAACACCGAUUGCGAAGGCAGCUUAC